This 253-nucleotide ribosomal RNA is filed under the name uncultured bacterium. RNAcentral describes it as "partial 16S ribosomal RNA". It matches the Rfam family "Bacterial small subunit ribosomal RNA", at positions 524 to 776 of the family's 1533-position model. The record is from RNAcentral.
UACAAAGGGGGCUAGCGUUGUUCGGAAUUACUGGGCGUAAAGGGCGCGUAGGCGGUUUGAAUCGUCGGAUGUGAAAGGCCUGGGCUCAACCUGGGAACGGCAUCCGAUACGGUCAGACUUGAGUGUGGGAGAGGUUGGUGGAAUUCCUAGUGUAGCGGUGAAAUGCGCAGAUAUUAGGAAGAACACCGGUGGCGAAGGCGGCUCUCUGGAACGGUACUGACGCUGAGACGCGAAAGCGUGGGGAGCGAACAGG